This 105-nucleotide small nuclear RNA is filed under the name Notamacropus eugenii (tammar wallaby). The record is from RNAcentral. Lineage: Eukaryota; Metazoa; Chordata; Mammalia; Diprotodontia; Macropodidae.
GUGCUCACUUGGGCAGGAUGGGUACUAAAAUUGUAAUGAUACAGAGAAGGUUAGCAUGGUCCAUGGGAAAGGAUGGCACAAAUUCGUGAAACAUUCCAUAUUUUA